GUGGGGAAUCUUGCGCAAUGGGCGAAAGCCUGACGCAGCCAUGCCGCGUGAAUGAUGAAGGUCUUAGGAUUGUAAAAUUCUUUCACCGGGGACGAUAAUGACGGUACCCGGAGAAGAAGCUCCGGCUAACUUCGUGCCAGCAGCCGCGGUAAUACGAAGGGGGCUAGCGUUGCUCGGAAUUACUGGGCGUAAAGGGCGCGUAGGCGGACAGCUUAGUCAGAGGUGAAAGCCCAGGGCUCAACCUUGGAAUUGCCUUUGAUACUGGCUGUCUUGAGUAUGAGAGAGGUGUGUGGAACUCCGAGUGUAGAGGUGAAAUUCGUAGAUAUUCGGAAGAACACCAGUGGCGAAGGCGACACACUGGCUCAUUACUGACGCUGAGGCGCGAAAGCGUGGGGAGCAAACAGGAUUAGAUACCCCGGUAGUCC
This 425-nucleotide ribosomal RNA is filed under the name uncultured bacterium. RNAcentral's name for it is "partial 16S ribosomal RNA". It matches the Rfam family "Bacterial small subunit ribosomal RNA", at positions 354 to 796 of the family's 1533-position model. The record is from RNAcentral.